GGACUACUGGGGUUUCUAAUCCCGUUUGCUCCCCUGGCUUUCGUGCCUGAGCGUCAGGAAAUGUCCAGAGACUCGCCUUCGCCACUGGUGUUCCUCUCGAUAUCUACGCAUUUCACUGCUACACCGAGAAUUCCAGUCUCCCCUCCAUUCCUCGAGCCAAAUAGUAUUCAAUGCAGUUCCGCAGUUGAGCUGCGGGAUUUCACAUCAAACUUACCUGGCCGCCUACGCACCCUUUACGCCCAGUGAAUCCGAACAACGCUUGGGACCUCUGUAUUACCGCGGCUGCUGGCAC
Molecule: ribosomal RNA, 292 nt
Filed under: uncultured bacterium
Lineage: Bacteria
Also listed under: 1 other name
Description: partial 16S ribosomal RNA
Source: RNAcentral